GACGAACGCUGGCGGCGUGCCUAAUACAUGCAAGUAGAACGCACAGUUUAUACCGUAGCUUGCUACACCAUAAACUGUGAGUUGCGAACGGGUGAGUAACGCGUAGGUAACCUGCCUGGUAGCGGGGGAUAACUAUUGGAAACGAUAGCUAAUACCGCAUAAUAUUGAUUAUUGCAUGAUAAUUGAUUGAAAGAUGCUAUCGCAUCACUACCAGAUGGACCUGCGUUGUAUUAGCUAGUAGGUGAGGUAACGGCUCACCUAGGCGACGAUACAUAGCCGACCUGCGAGGGUGAUCGGCCACACUGGGACUGUGACACGGCCCAUACUCCUACGGGAGGCAGCAGUAGGGAAUCUUCGGCAAUGGACGAAAGUCUGACCGAGCAACGCCGCGUGAGUGAAGAAGGAUUUCGGAUCGUAAAGCUCUGUUGUAAGAGAAGAACGGGUGUGAGAGUGGAAAGUUCACACUGUGACGGUAUCUUACCAGAAAGGGACGGCUAACUACGUG
Molecule: ribosomal RNA, 505 nt
Filed under: uncultured bacterium
Lineage: Bacteria
Description: partial 16S ribosomal RNA
Rfam family: Bacterial small subunit ribosomal RNA
Source: RNAcentral